RNAcentral lists this long non-coding RNA (2273 nucleotides) under Bos taurus (domestic cattle). Its description in RNAcentral is "long non-coding RNA NONBTAT015262". Lineage: Eukaryota; Metazoa; Chordata; Mammalia; Artiodactyla; Bovidae. The record is from RNAcentral.
CAAAAGGAUAUUAGGUAUUAGCUGACAUCAGAGAUGUUUCCUCUGGAAGGAAUAUGAGCAAAACCAACAUAAGCAUUGAUGUGGCAAAUUUUGGUGAAUUCUUGUGGUCAUUAAAUCGAUUUCUCCUUUGGAUUCAAAUUGUGAUGUCCCCUGCAUUUCCAUAAUAGGAAAUAAUUAGACUUUCUAAAAUCCAAGAAGCAUUCUAUUUUGGAUAUUUAUUUUUUCUAUUUAUUUUCCAGUUAUAUGAUUGAUUUGCUUAUGCCAAGAUUCUGUCCCUGUCAGUUAUUUAACAAGCUUUUUAUUUAGGAACUAUUUUAAGAUUAUUAUUUGAUAGCCAUAGCACGAAGCAGAGGGUGAUGAUGCCUAUAAUUAUAGAACUAUUCCUAUAAAAAUAACAAUUAUUGGGUAAUAAUACCAAGAGGAACAAAAUUAAAAACAGUCAAGAAAAUUAUUUUAAAAUAGUAUUCUACUUAUAAAUACUUGAUCUAAAAUAUUUUAUUCUCUGUUGAGUUUGACUUAACACCCCAAAGUCUAUGUAACCAUUACUCUUUCAUUAUUUCAGAAUUAUUUAUUCCAUAUAAUUCAUUUUAUAAUUUUAAAUGGAUCUGGAGCCAUGAAGUAUAAGACUGCUUUUGAAGAACUGCAUUAACACCCAACAACAUGUGUUACUUAUUGUCUCCCAAAUGCUUUAGUAAGCCAUAUUUUAUUUUGGAGAAUUAUUUACAAUGUACGUGCAGUUCUUUCUGAUACAGAAACCAUUUCUGAAGUGUUUACACUGGUUUGAUGUUUACAUUGUCCUAAUCAGUGCCUCACAUACCUCCACGACCAAAUUUGGCUAUAGCCACAUAGCUCGUUUCCUGUAAUACCAUGGUGUAGGAAGGGCUCACAGAGACAUAAGUGCAGCUAAAGUUAUUUUGAUGUCUUCAGCAAAGGGUAUAAGGAUAUUAUUCGAAUCUAAAGAUUAUUACCACCAUCUCUUGGUCACUUUUUGGGAAAUGGACAUUUCUUGAGACUCUAACUGUGAUUAGGUACAAGAUUACCUUUUAAUAAAAUAAAAUAAUCCUUUGGAAAAUGUAUCAGAGGGCAGUUGAGAGAACAUGUCUGUCUUGUGAUGAGGAUAAGAAGUCACAGAUUAGUAGAAAAAAUGCUGAAUACUGGAAUUUAACUUGUGGGUCUUGACAUAAGACUUUUAAAACUCUGGCCAGUGACCACUCUAGCCAAGUUUCUAUCAUUUCCAUAUUAUCAGCUAUCAUGCUACAAAUAAUUCAAAACCAGCAUUUUACUAAAGUAAAUAUUUUCCCUGUUGUUUUUAACCAGAUAGGACAUUCUGUGUAUCAGUGAGUGCUUUUGUUAUGUUUGUAGUACAAGUUAUUCUCUGCCAACCCAUUCAGAUAAGAAUUGGGCAAGGGUUUUUACCAGCCCUUUCUUGUCUCCUUUGUAAGAGAGAGAAGCUUUGACCAUAAAGAAGGACUGACUACAUUAAAAAACAUUUUAAUAACAGCUGAAAUAUUCUUUAAAGUGUAAAUUUUGUGCACUGGGAAUCAACAAAUUUGAUGAAGCUCAUACAGUUCUCACCAAUGGAGUGGGUGCAUUGGGUAGGAGAAACAAUAUGUGUAGAGAGAUAUAACUAGGUGUGGUAUAUAACCUGGAACUACAACUAUGAGGGAGAAUCCUCAACCAUAAAGAAUUUUAGAGUUUAAAACUCAAAUUGUAAAGAGAUCAUAUCGAAGUUUCUAGUUUCCUAACGUACUUAAUAAUUUUUUAAAAGGAAGAUCUGUGAGCUAUGUUAGCCAAAGCAAUAGAAAAGUUGUCCUUCACCUUCUACUCCCAAGCUUUAAAGCAUUAAAAGAUAUCUAAUGUUUGUGAAUAUUUUAGGGAAAGCUUUAUCAUUUUUAAAGAUACCAAGAUGCUAUCUAUAUUUAAAACUAUUGUCUAGGAAUUCGCCAAAAGCUAUAUUUUCUUCUUGAUCUUUGACCAAAAUGGUAUAAGCUUAUUUCUGGGAAGAGUGCUGAGCUCUUAAACAUGGAAAGUAGAUAAUAUGCUCUGAGUUGAGUGUUGUCUCAAUGUUGUAUAAAUCUACAGAGACACUUGCCUCAUAAAGUAGAACUGUUAGAUGAAUAGGAAUUUUAUGAACUUAUUGCCUUGGAGUUCUUGGGUAAAGACCCAACCAGGAUGACACUGUUGAGUGAGAACCAUAAAGAAAGAUUAGAGAUUCAAGUUGUCUAAAUAGAGUUUAUAACUAUGGGAGAAUAUGGAGAAGACCAUACUUAAAA